This 472-nucleotide ribosomal RNA is filed under the name uncultured bacterium. RNAcentral's name for it is "bacterial SSU rRNA". It matches the Rfam family "Bacterial small subunit ribosomal RNA", at positions 355 to 825 of the family's 1533-position model. The record is from RNAcentral.
UGGGGAAUAUUGGACAAUGGGCGAAAGCCUGAUCCAGCCAUGCCGCGUGUGUGAAGAAGGUCUUCGGAUUGUAAAGCACUUUAAGUUGGGAGGAAGGGCAGUUACCUAAUACGUAUCUGUUUUGACGUUACCGACAGAAUAAGCACCGGCUAACUCUGUGCCAGCAGCCGCGGUAAUACGUAGGGACCAAGCGUUGUUCGGAUUUACUGGGCGUAAAGGGCGCGUAGGCGGCAUGACAAGUCACUUGUGAAAUCUCUGGGCUUAACCCAGAACGGCCAAGUGAUACUGUCGCGCUAGAGUGCAGAAGGGGCAAUCGGAAUUCUUGGUGUAGCGGUGAAAUGCGUAGAUAUCAAGAGGAACACCUGAGGUGAAGACGGGUUGCUGGGCUGACACUGACGCUGAGGCGCGAAAGCCAGGGGAGCAAACGGGAUUAGAUACCCCAGUAGUCCCUGAGCGGGCUGGCAAGGCGCAU